Molecule: ribosomal RNA, 253 nt
Filed under: uncultured bacterium
Lineage: Bacteria
Description: partial 16S ribosomal RNA
Rfam family: Bacterial small subunit ribosomal RNA
Source: RNAcentral
UACAUGGGGUGCAAACGUUGUUCGGAUUUACUGGGCGUAAAGCGCGUGUAGGCGGCUUGGCAAGUCGGAUGUGAAAGCCCACGGCUCAACCGUGGAAGCGCACCCGAAACGGCCUCGCUCGAGUCUCGGAGAGGAAGGUGGAAUGCUUGGUGUAGAGGUGAAAUUCGUAGAUAUCAAGCAGAACACCUGCGGCGAAGGCGGCCUUCUGGACGAUGACUGACGCUGAGACGCGAAAGCGUGGGGAGCAAACAGG